Molecule: ribosomal RNA, 256 nt
Filed under: uncultured bacterium
Lineage: Bacteria
Description: partial 16S ribosomal RNA
Rfam family: Bacterial small subunit ribosomal RNA
Source: RNAcentral
GACGGGGGGGGGCAAGUGUUCUUCGGAAUGACUGGGGCGUAAAGGGCGACGUAGGCGGUGAAUCGGGUUGAAAGUGAAAGUCGCCAAAAAGUGGCGGAAUGCUCUCGAAACCAAUUCACUUGAGUGAGACAGAGGAGAGUGGAAUUUCGUGUGUAGGGGUGAAAAUCCGUAGAUCUACGAAGGAACGCCAAAAAGCGAAGGCAGCUCUCUGGGUCCCUACCGACGCUGGGGUGCGAAAGCAUGGGGAGCGAACAGG